RNAcentral lists this transfer RNA (73 nucleotides) under Propionibacteriaceae bacterium. RNAcentral describes it as "tRNA-Lys". It matches the Rfam family "tRNA". From Rfam's summary of the family: Transfer RNA (tRNA) molecules are approximately 80 nucleotides in length. Their secondary structure includes four short double-helical elements and three loops (D, anti-codon, and T loops). Lineage: Bacteria; Bacillati; Actinomycetota; Actinomycetes; Propionibacteriales; Propionibacteriaceae. The record is from RNAcentral.
GCCCCUAUAGCUCAGUCGGGAGAGCAGCGGACUUUUAAUCCGCGGGUCGCGGGUUCGAGCCCCGCUGGGGGCA